Long non-coding RNA from Gossypium arboreum, 608 nucleotides. RefSeq lists it as uncharacterized. The record is from RefSeq and is a predicted model, not a curated record. NCBI's taxonomy places the organism in Eukaryota, Viridiplantae, Streptophyta, Magnoliopsida, Malvales, Malvaceae. The transcript has 3 exons.
CAUCCCCUUUUCUGCUCAUUUGUUCUUUCUCAUUCCUUUCAUUAUUUUCUUGCCAAAACAAAGGUUUUGACCACCCCAAAAGCCUCCUAAACCGUUCACCACCCUCAUUUCCUCCCAUAUUCUCUUUUCUUCUCUUUUCCUCUACCAUUUUCUCUCUUUUUGGCAACCACCACCAUUUCUCUUCAUCUUUGCUUCAAUUCCUCCGCUGUGAGCCUUAGUUGCACCACCACCUCACCACCGUCCAUACCCUUCUUCUCUCAUUCUUCUCCUCCGAUCACCAUCUUUCGUCGCCACCAUGAACUACCGCUAGACCACUACCAUUGCCACCGUCACUAUCGUCGACGUCAAUUGUCACUGGGUUUUGGGAUUCAUCUCCGACUUUGUUGUGCUAUUUAGUAGUGACCGAAUAACAAUCCUUUGAGAAACCAAUUGUAUGGCAUCGUGAGAGUAACAGAUCUGAGCGUUUGAAUUAAGGGAAAGUAUUAAUGAGAUUUCCUGCAUUAGAUCUUAUAUUAAAGGACUUAUUUUUUCAUUACAUUGUGACUAAAAAAAGAUAUUCAUGUGAUUAGAUUUGUGAUUGGGACUAGAUUCAAGUGAGACUUCUACAA